Molecule: long non-coding RNA, 2349 nt
Organism: Alosa sapidissima (American shad)
Lineage: Eukaryota; Metazoa; Chordata; Actinopteri; Clupeiformes; Clupeidae
Exons: 4
Source: RefSeq, a predicted model, not a curated record
AGUAACAUUUCCUGGUUUUACUGCAAUAUUAUUCGUUGACUUGCGGGGGCGCACGUGUCUGUAAUUCUACUUAUUUGGGCAUGCAGGCCGUAUGGGGUAGGACUGCACUUCAUGUCCAAAAUCGAAAUGGCAAUAAGGCCUAGCACUGGCCUACACACAGAUUCUUGGUAACCAGAUUGGAAGACCCACAGGAAGGAUUGUUAAAUCUUAAAUUGAAUGAGUAGCCUAGGCUAAGUUACCUUCUGAAAUUUGUGUGUGUGUUUUUGUUUCUUAUUUUAUAAUAAUGUAAUAAUAAUAGCUGUUUUAUUGAUUUAGAAAAAUACUGCAGUUCAUCAUCUGUCCCUCAUGCCUCUGUUAUUCCCCCAUUGCCCUAGCAGGACUACAGGUGCAUCAUGUAAAGUAGCUGAAGAAAGUCAUAGUGAAGAAGGACCCCUUGUGGUUAAGAUAUGAACAUGCAUGCUAUGAUUGAAAAAAGAGCUUCAAAAUGUGGUCUGUAUUUAUCAUCACUGCUAAUGAAGAAAACAGAUCUCUUGAAAACAGGUGUCUUGGCAGCCCUAGGUAGCCCUGAAGUACAGCUUGGACGGUUCAGAGUUGCAGGCAGGGAUGAGAGAUUGGUUCCACAUGCUGACCUGGGCCAACCAGAGAAAAGCAGACCGUGCAGCUGAUGGACUACCCCUAGAUUAGCACUCCCUUUGUUGAGCAGCGUUAACACCUGCAGAAGGGUGCCUUUGAAGUCCCUACACGUUUCAAUAACUUCGGAGACUAUGUCACGUCACCACCUUUUCCUAACUCUGUGUAGAACUCCGAAAACCUAAACAUGUGAAAGAGAAAUGGAAUCAAAAUAGAAGGAGAGUCAGAUUUUCAUACUAUGGUGAGGGUGACUAGAGGAGGUGAGUUGAGAUGAAGGAGAGAUGAACAGAAGAGAAGAUUAAAGAAAAAAGGCCAGACAGCUCAAAGUGUGUGGAAGACGGGGGAAAAAGAAAACGAGCACGCACAAAGAAAGUCGGGGCGUCCCCACAGAGAGCACAGCGCCGCCGGCCAGACCUAAGGGUCCGAGAGAAAGAUGCAGGGAGACGGACUGAGAGAAACGGAAACAGAGACAGACAGAGAGUAAAAGAGGAGAGGAAGAGCGCGAGGGGUUGGGAGGAAGCCCCCUGCCGAUGUGGAACAAGAGCUGGGGAGAGAGGUGCCAGAACUGGUUAAAUCACAAGACCAGGGGUGAAAGAAAUCAAACGGUCUGCACAGGAAAUAGUCAAAACAAGUCAUGUGACUGGGCCGAGUCACUGUUGGAAAACAGGGCAGAUGUGUCGGCAGAGGGCUACGAAGGACCCCGGCAGAGGUUGCUAGGCUACCAACAUGAGAACACACAUUUGUCACGUAUGCCGGCCUUGUGAUAUGAGGCCUUCUCUCUGCUCCAGUCGCCUCUGGGAGCAUACCAUGCUUACAGAACACUUGCAUUAAGGAAGUACUCCUUCACGCUUCAGUAGUUUGACAGUGAUGAUACAUGGACUUCAGUUUCUGUUGUGUCCAUCAGCCUAGCUGCAAACAAGGGCUUGUCUGAUGGGGCAACAGUUCAUGUUGCUAUGGCUUCUGAAGUCUCUGCAAUUGUUCAGUUGGACCAGCUAAAAGUAUGUUUGAAUUCAAACAAACCCAAUAAGAGUCAAUCAUGGAAAGUAGAAAGGCGUGAGGCAAACUUUGCAAACAAUUUUAAGUCUCUUACCAAAGGGAGCCUUUUCUCUCUCUCUGCCCCCCCCCCCCCUACACUGUUUCACUGUUUUACCCUCAAAACCAAAUCAGUUGAUGUCAUAUUUUCUGUAGCAUAAUGCAUAUAAUAUGUGUGAAAUAUUUAACCAAUGAAGGCCUGGGAGACACAUAUGAACACAUGCUUUUCACAUUAUUAAGGGCUCCUUGCAAUACCCAGAAUUAACUGAAAUUCAGCACAUGGUGCCUUUAGUCACUAUGCCCCCACUCACACUUUUAAUUAGGCUUUUGAGGCUAUUUAAGUAAUUUAAUUGUUUAUUGUUUUUAAUUAUUAUUUUAUUAACUUCUUAUUGUUUGUAUUUUAAUUUCCAUCUUUUCAUGUUUAUCUAUUUUAGCUUUGUUGUGUGGUCAUCUCAUGUUUGUUGUGUUAUUCUCUUUCUUUUGGAGCACAUUGAGUAUGUGCAUGAAAUGUACUAUUUAAAUAAAGUUGACUUGUCUUGACAUUGGUAUCCCACAAAAAUGUUUGAUUUCCAUUUGUUUGAUAUUGUCUAUUCAGGUUAAAGGUACAUCCAACGCCAUGCAGAGUUACAAACCAAACAAUAUUUGUGUUAAAUAUGCGUGAUUUAAACAGUGGAACAAAGACUUCUC